This 84-nucleotide non-coding RNA is filed under the name Pseudomonas helmanticensis. The record is from RNAcentral. Lineage: Bacteria; Pseudomonadati; Pseudomonadota; Gammaproteobacteria; Pseudomonadales; Pseudomonadaceae.
CUUUAUGGUGGCCAUGCGUAGGGCGUCCUCGGACGCGCCGGGCUCCUGGGCCGGUCUACCAACCUGUGCAUGGCCACCACCCCU